This 250-nucleotide ribosomal RNA is filed under the name uncultured bacterium. Its description in RNAcentral is "partial 16S ribosomal RNA". It matches the Rfam family "Bacterial small subunit ribosomal RNA", at positions 526 to 775 of the family's 1533-position model. The record is from RNAcentral.
CGGAGGGUGCAAGCGUUAUCCGGAUUUAUUGGGUUUAAAGGGUGCGUAGGCGGUUUCUUAAGUCAGCGGUGAAAGUUUUCAGCUUAACUGGAAAAAUGCCGUUGAUACUGAGAGGCUUGAAUAUGGUUGCUGUGGGUGGAAUGUGUGGUGUAGCGGUGAAAUGCUUAGAUAUCACACAGAAUAUCAAUUGCGAAGGCAGCUCACAAAGCCAUUAUUGACGCUGAGGCACGAAAGUGUGGGGAUCAAACAG